RNAcentral lists this ribosomal RNA (492 nucleotides) under uncultured bacterium. RNAcentral describes it as "partial 16S ribosomal RNA". It matches the Rfam family "Bacterial small subunit ribosomal RNA", at positions 29 to 507 of the family's 1533-position model. The record is from RNAcentral.
AGUGAACGCUGGCGGUAGGCCUAACACAUGCAAGUCGAACGGCAGCACAGUAAGAGCUUGCUCUUACGGGUGGCGAGUGGCGGACGGGUGAGGAAUACAUCGGAAUCUACUUUUUCGUGGGGGAUAACGUAGGGAAACUUACGCUAAUACCGCAUACGACCUACGGGUGAAAGCAGGGGAUCUUCGGACCUUGCGCGAUUGAAUGAGCCGAUGUCGGAUUAGCUAGUUGGCGGGGUAAAGGCCCACGAAGGCGACGAUCCGUAGCUGGUCUGAGAGGAUGAUCGGCCACACUGGAACUGAGACACGGUCCAUACUCCUACGGUAGGCAGCAGUGGGGAAUAUUGGACAAUGGGCGCAAGCCUUAUCCAGCCAUACCGCGUGGGUGAAGAAGGCCUUCGGGUUGUAAAGCCCUUUUGUUGGGAAAGAAAAGCAGCAGGUUAAUACCCCGCUGUUCUGACGGUACCCAAAGAAUAAGCACCGGCUAACUUCGUG